RNAcentral lists this long non-coding RNA (551 nucleotides) under Ananas comosus (pineapple). Its description in RNAcentral is "long non-coding RNA (ACOM_LNC043775)". Lineage: Eukaryota; Viridiplantae; Streptophyta; Magnoliopsida; Poales; Bromeliaceae. The record is from RNAcentral.
UAUAUAACUUUUAUGGGAUAGUUUACUGUGUAGAACUACUAUGCUAUCAAAAGUAUAGAGAAUUUGAUUCUUUCGAUUUUUAAACCUUUGGAUUAAGAAUUGUACGUACGGUUGGGAUAAUUGCGAUCCCCCCCUAGGGUUGAGUAGUACCCUCUAAGAUUGAGUAGUCCCCACAGGAUAAUAGUAUUAAUCCAAAAGUUAAAAAUAAUUGAAGGGGCUGUUCUAAGGACCAAAAAGUCAAAAAUGCCAGAUUCUCUAUAUUUUCGAUAAUAUAAUAGCUCUACUCUAGUUUAUUUAUGCGUUCUUUACUUAAUGGUAAAAAUGUAUAGAGUUUGUCUAAAUCAUAAACCAAUUUAAAUUGACUAUUUAAUCUUUAAAAUUUUGAUUUUACUAGCCAAUAUUUUAAUUUAUUUAAUUUUUUAUGACUGUUCAGACGUGAAAUUUAAUCUUUUUUGCUUUUUUUAAUAAACAUAUAAUUACAUGAAUCAUAUAAAAUAUACUAAUUAACUAUAAAGAUAAAUGACUCAUUCAAAAUUUGAAGUUAAAGAAUU